Long non-coding RNA from Drosophila ananassae, 484 nucleotides. RefSeq lists it as uncharacterized. The transcript has 2 exons. Lineage: Eukaryota; Metazoa; Arthropoda; Insecta; Diptera; Drosophilidae. The record is from RefSeq and is a predicted model, not a curated record.
UUUUUGAUUUUUUUCGGAUCGUUAUUUCUGUGACUUUUCUGUCAAAUUUGUUUCUUUCGGGUCUAUAUUUGUGGAAUUUCCAUCAGGGCAUUUACAAAACUUGUUCGUCUGAUUCUUAUCACUGUGGUAGCAGAAACUUUCUUUUGUUCGAAUCGGUUUCCCACUCGUAAAAAUUGCAAUUUGUUGUCUCUAAUCACCAUUAAAAUUUUUUUGAUGUUGAUCCAUUUGCUUCUGUUCUUCCUUCUUUUGCUGCCACUGCCACUGCGGCUGCUGGUGCUGCAUUUUAUUGAUUUAUGCGAAUGCGGCAAGCUUCAAAGCCAAAUUCAAGGCAUGACUGCAACCGCAACAACAACGAUUACAAUUCAGCUUGCAACAUUCUGGGUUGUGGGACAAAAAAAUGUGUCCAUAAAAGCAUAUAAAAAUAAUAAUAUGAAAUAAUAUAAUAAGAAAAAUAAAUGAUGCCGUGAAAUUUUUACAUUUCAAA